AUUGAACGCUGGCGGCAUGCUUUACACAUGCAAGUCGAACGGUAACAGGCCUUCGGGUGCUGACGAGUGGCGAACGGGUGAGUAAUGCAUCGGAACGUGCCCAGUCGUGGGGGAUAACUAGUCGAAAGAUUAGCUAAUACCGCAUACGACCUGAGGGUGAAAGCGGGGGACCUUAGGGCCUCGCGCGAUUGGAGCGGCCGAUGUCUGAUUAGCUAGUUGGUAGGGGUAAACGCCCACCAAGGCGACGAUCAGUAGCGGGUCUGAGAGGAUGAUCCGCCACACUGGGACUGAGACACGGCCCAGACACCUACGGGUGGCAG
RNAcentral lists this ribosomal RNA (320 nucleotides) under uncultured Pseudomonadota bacterium. RNAcentral describes it as "bacterial SSU rRNA". It matches the Rfam family "Bacterial small subunit ribosomal RNA", at positions 30 to 351 of the family's 1533-position model. The record is from RNAcentral. Lineage: Bacteria; Pseudomonadati; Pseudomonadota.